RNAcentral lists this ribosomal RNA (361 nucleotides) under uncultured bacterium. RNAcentral's name for it is "bacterial SSU rRNA". It matches the Rfam family "Bacterial small subunit ribosomal RNA", at positions 28 to 407 of the family's 1533-position model. The record is from RNAcentral.
GGUGAACGCUGGCGGCGUGCUUGACACAUGCAAGUCGAACGGUAUGUGGCAACACAUAGAGUGGCGAACGGGUGAGUAACACGUGGGAACGUAUCUUUUGCAGGGGGAUAACUGACCGAAAGGACAGCUAAUACCGCAUAAGUCCGGGAGGAGAAAGGUGCAACAGCAUCGGCAGAAGAGCGGCCCGCGGUCCAUCAGCUAGUUGGUGAGGUAAGGGCUUACCAAGGCGACGACGGAUAGCCGGCGUGAGAGCGUGGCCGGCCACAAGGACACUGAGAUACGGGUCCUACUCCUACGGGAGGCAGCAGUGCGGAAUUUUAGAUAAUGGAGGGAACUCUGAUCUAGCGACGCCGCGUGCAGG